Serratia sp. M24T3 is the source of this 102-nucleotide non-coding RNA. The record is from Rfam. Lineage: Bacteria; Pseudomonadati; Pseudomonadota; Gammaproteobacteria; Enterobacterales; Yersiniaceae.
AGCCGCCAUGCGGCAAAUAGGGUCCAGUUGCAUAAAGCCCCGAUUUAUCGGGGUUUUUUGUUAUUUGGCAACAGAAUCACUGGGCUAUUAGGCCCUUUUUUU